Molecule: unclassified non-coding RNA, 343 nt
Filed under: soil metagenome
Description: partial contains 5.8S ribosomal RNA, internal transcribed spacer 2, and large subunit ribosomal RNA
Rfam family: 5.8S ribosomal RNA (bases 1-120)
Source: RNAcentral
GAUGAAGAACGUAGCGAAAUGCGAUAAGUAAUGUGAAUUGCAGAAUUCAGUGAAUCAUCGAAUCUUUGAACGCACAUUGCGCCCGCCAGUAUUCUGGCGGGCAUGCCUGUUCGAGCGUCAUUUCAACCCUCAGGCCCCGCCUGGCGUUGGGGAUCGGCGCGGCCCUCUCCGGGCUGCCGGCCCCGAAAACUAGUGGCGGUCUCGCUGUAGUCCUCCUCUGCGCAGUAGCAACGCUCGCACUGGAACUCGGCGCGGCCACGCCGUAAAACACCCCACUUCUGAAAGUUGACCUCGGAUCAGGUAGGGAUACCCGCUGAACUUAAGCAUAUCAAUAAGCGGAGGA